Molecule: ribosomal RNA, 253 nt
Filed under: uncultured bacterium
Lineage: Bacteria
Description: partial 16S ribosomal RNA
Rfam family: Bacterial small subunit ribosomal RNA
Source: RNAcentral
UACAGAGACUGCAAGCGUUAUUCGGAUUCACUGGGCGUAAAGGGUGCGCAGGCGGCCGUGUGUGUGAGGCGUGAAAGCCCGAUGCUUAACGUCGGAAUUGCACCUCAAACUACACGGCUAGAGCAUUGGAGAGGGUAGCGGAAUUCACGGUGUAGCAGUGAAAUGCGUAGAUAUCGUGAGGAACACCAGAGGCGAAGGCGGCUACCUGGACCGGUAUUGACGCUGAGGCGCGAAAGCCAGGGGAGCAAACGGG